AAAGAUCCAUGGGAGAAGCAUGGUUUCCUGAGGUCGCACCAUCACUCACUUCUUCCCUUGGCUGGGAGUGGGGGUUCCUUUGGCUCUGUGUCGCUCCCAGGGGGGCUGUCGCCCCAUCCAGCUUUUCUUUGUUCUCUGUGGGUCGAGUUGUUUUCCUGAUGAGUCCCAAUGCAAGUACCUGGAUAUUUCAGUUGAAGAUGCUGUAUUCACUUGCCUCUUUUGUUCCUCUCUGCCCCUUUGGUGCCAGUCUGCUGGAGUUUGCUGGAGGUCCACUCCUGACCCUGUUUGCCUGGGUAUCACCAGCAGAGGCUGCAAAGCAGCAAAGAUUGCUGCCUGUUCUUUCUUCUAGAAGCUUCGACCCAGUGGGGCACCUGUCAGAUGCCAGCCAGAGCUCUCCUGUAUCAGGUGUCUGUCGGUCCAAGCUAGAAGGUAUCUCCCAGUCAGUAUACAUGGGGAUCAGGGACCCACUUGAGGAGGCAGACUGACCCUUAGCAGAGCUUCAAUACCGUGCUGGGAGGUCCACUGCUCUCUUCAGAGCCAUCAGGCAGGGACGUUUAAGUCUGCUAUAAGCCCCCGACUGGGGUUGCUGCCUUUUUUACAGAGAUGCCCUGUCCAGAGAGGAGCAAUCUGGCAGUCUGGCCACAGCAGCCUUGCUGAGCUGCAGUGAGCUCUGCCCAGUUUGAACUUCCCAGCAGCUUUGUUUAUACUGUGGCCAUAAAACCAUCUACUCAAGCCUCAGCAAUGGUGGACGUCUCUUCCACCACCAAGCUCAAUCAUCCCAGGUGAAUCUCAGAUUGCUGCUGUGCUGGCAGCAAGAAUUUCAAGCCAGUGGAUCUUAGUUUCCUGGGCUCCAUGGGCGUGGGACCAGCCAAGCCAGACCACUUGGCUCCCUGGCUUCAGCCCCUCUUUCCAGGGGAGUGAACGGUUCUGUCUCGCUGGUGUUCCAGGCGCCACUGGGGUAUGGAAAAAAGAAAAAAAGCUCCUACAGCUAGUUCAGUGUCUGCCCAAUUGGCCACCCAGUUUUGUGCUUGAAACCCAGGGCCCUGGUGGGGUAGUCACUGGAGGGAAUCUCCUGGUUUGUGGGUUUCGAAGACUGUGGGACAAGUGCAGUAUCUGUGCUGGAGUUCCUCAGGCUCAGACCCUCAUGGCUUCCCUUGGGUAGAGGGGAAAAUUCCCCGACCCCUUGCACUUCCCAGGUGAGGUGAUGCCCCACCCUGCUUCGGCUUGCCCUCCGUGGGCUGCACCCACUGUCCAACCAGUCCCAGUGAGAUGAACCGUGUGCCUCAGUUGGAAAUGCAGAAAUCACCCACCUUCUGCCUCGAUCUCGCUGGGAGCUGCAGACUGGUGCUGUUCCUAUUCGGCCAUCUUGAAUCUUGCCUGUUCAUUUUUAAUUUUUUCUUUCAGUGUAUUUUCCUCUCAGUUCAGGCUGGAAAAUUUCAAUUGCUCUAUCUUUGAGUUCACUGAUUGUUUCUUUUGUCAUAUUCAUUCUGUUAUUGAAUCCAUCCAGUGAGUUUUCAUUUUGGUUAUUUUAUUUUCCAGCUAUAAAAUUUCCAUUUGCUUCUUUCUUUCUUUUUUUUUUUAGAAAUGUUCAUCUUUUUAUUUUAAGUUCCGGGGUACAUAUACAGGAUGUGCAGGUUUGUUACAUAGGUAAACAUGUGCCAUGGGUAGUGUUCAUCUAUAGCUCUAUCAAUGCUUCUUGUCUUUAAGUCUACCUUGUUUGAGAGCUAUGUCAGCAUUCUUUUUUUUUUUUAAUUAUACUUUAAGUUCUAGGAUAUAUAUGCACAAUGUGCAGGUUAGUUACAUGUCUAUACAUGUGCCAUGUUGGUGUGCUGCACCCAUUAACUCGUCAUUUAACAUUAGGUAUAUCUCCUAAUGCUAUCCCUCCCCCCUCCGCCAACCCCACAACAGGCCCUGGUGUGUGAUGUUCCCUUUCCUGUGUCCAUGUGUUCUCAUUGUUCAAUUCCCAUCUAUGAGUGAGAACAUGUGGUGUUUGGUUUUUUGUCCUUGCGAUAGUUUGCUGAGAAUGAUGGUUUCCAGCUUCAUCCAUGUCCCUACAAAGGACAUGAACUCAUCAUUUUUUAUGGCUGCAUAGUAUUCCAUGGUGUAUAUGUGCCACAUUUUCUUAAUCCAGUCUAUCAUUGUUGGACAUUUGGGUUGGUUCCAAGUCUUUGCUAUUGUGAAUAGUGCCACAAUAAACAUAUGUGUGCAUGUGUCUUUAUAGCAGCACGUUUUAUAAUCCUUUGGGUAUAUACCCAGUAAUGGGAUGGCUGGGUCAAAUGGUAUUUCUAGUUCUAGAUCCCUGAGGAAUCGCCACACUGACUUCCACAAUGGUUGAGCUAGUUUACAGUCCCACCAACAGUGUAAAAGUGUUCCUAUUUCUCCACAUCCUCUCCAGCACCUGUUGUUUCCUGACUUUUUAAUGAUUGCCAUUCUAACUAGUGUGAGAUGGAAUCUCAUUGUGGUUUUGAUUUGCAUUUCUCCGAUGGCCAGUGAUCAUGAGCAUUUUUUCAUGUGUCUUUUGGCUGUGUAAAUGUCUUCUUUUGAGAAGUGUCUGUUCAUAUCCUUCGCCCACUUGUUGAUGGGGUUGUUUGUUUUUUUCUUGUAAAUUUGUUUGAGUUCAUUGUAGAUUCUGGAUAUUAGCCCUUUGUCAGAUGAGUAGAUGCAAAAAUUUUCUCCCAUUCUGUAGGUUGCCUGUUCACUCUGAUGGUAGUUUCUUUUGCUGUGCAGAAGCUCUUUAGUUUAAUUAGAUCCCAUUUGUCAAUUUUGGCAUUUGUUGCCAUUGCUUUUGGUGUUUUAGACAUGAAGUCCUUGCCCAUGCCUAUGUCCUGAAUGGUGUUGCCUAGGUUUUCUUCUAGGGUUUUUAUGGUUUUAGGUCUAACAUUUAAGAGGAUACAAACAAAUGGAAGAACAUUCCAUGCUCAUGGGUAGGAAGAAUCAAUAUCGUGAAAAUGGCCAUACUGCCCAAGGUAAUUUAUAGAUUCAAUGCCAUCCCCAUCAAGCUACCAAUGACUUUCUUCACAGAAUUGGAAAAAACUACUUUAAAGUUCAUAUGGAACCAAAAAAGAGCCCACAUUGCCAAGUCAGUCCUAAGCCAAAAGAACAAAGCUGGAGGCAUCACGCUACCUGACUUCAAACUAUACUACAAGGCUACAGUAACCAAAACAGCAUGGUACUGGUACCAAAACAGAGAUAUAGACCCUCAGAAAUAAUGCCACAUAUCUACAACUAUCUGAUCUUUGACAAACCUGACAAAAACAAGAAAUGGGGAAAGGAUUCCCUAUUUAGUAAAUGGUGCUGGGAAAACUGGCUAGCCAUAUGUAGAAAGCUGAAAAUGGAUCCCUUCCUUACACCUUAUACAAAGAUUAAUUCAAGAUGGAUUAAAGACUUAAAUGCUUCUUUCUUAUAUUUUAUAUUUGUUGCUAAGAUGUUCCAUUAAAAAUAAUUUCGAAGUUAUUCAU
Homo sapiens (human) is the source of this 3458-nucleotide long non-coding RNA. Ensembl annotates it as TSBP1 and BTNL2 antisense RNA 1. Its record names the gene TSBP1-AS1. NCBI's taxonomy places the organism in Eukaryota, Metazoa, Chordata, Mammalia, Primates, Hominidae. The record is from Ensembl.